GAUGAACGCUGGCGGCGUGCCUAAUACAUGCAAGUCGAGCGAACAGACGAGGAGCUUGCUCCUCUGACGUUAGCGGCGGACGGGUGAGUAACACGUGGCUAACCUACCUAUAAGACUGGGAUAAAUUAGGGAAACCGGAGCUAAUACCGGAUAAUAUAUUGAACCGCAUGGUUCAAUAGUGAAAGACGGUUUUGCUGUCACUUAUAGAUGGAUCCGCGCCGCAUUAGCUAGUUGGUAAGGUAGCGGCUUACCAAGGCAACGAUGCGUAGCCGAGCCGAGAGGGUGAUCGGCCACACUGGGACUGAGACACGGUCCAGACUCCUACGGGAGGCAGCAGUAGGGAAGCUUCCGCAAUGGGCGAAAGCCUGACGGAGCAACGCCGCGUGGGUGAUGAAGGUCUUCGGAUCGUAAAACUCUGUUAUUAGGGAAGAACAAAUGUGUAAGUAACUAUGCACGUCUUGACGGUACCUAAUCAGAAAGCCACGGCUAACUACGUG
RNAcentral lists this ribosomal RNA (497 nucleotides) under uncultured bacterium. RNAcentral's name for it is "partial 16S ribosomal RNA". It matches the Rfam family "Bacterial small subunit ribosomal RNA", at positions 28 to 507 of the family's 1533-position model. The record is from RNAcentral.